This 72-nucleotide ribosomal RNA is filed under the name Yersinia enterocolitica. Its description in RNAcentral is "partial 16S ribosomal RNA". It matches the Rfam family "Bacterial small subunit ribosomal RNA", at positions 1 to 72 of the family's 1533-position model. RNAcentral also lists the same sequence under 6 other names. The record is from RNAcentral. Lineage: Bacteria; Pseudomonadati; Pseudomonadota; Gammaproteobacteria; Enterobacterales; Yersiniaceae.
AAAUUGAAGAGUUUGAUCAUGGCUCAGAUUGAACGCUGGCGGCAGGCCUAACACAUGCAAGUCGAGCGGCAG